This 256-nucleotide ribosomal RNA is filed under the name uncultured prokaryote. Its description in RNAcentral is "partial 16S ribosomal RNA". It matches the Rfam family "Bacterial small subunit ribosomal RNA", at positions 524 to 780 of the family's 1533-position model. The record is from RNAcentral.
UACGUAGGGGACGAGCGUUGUCUGGAAUUACUGGGCGUAAAGGGCGCGCAGGCUGUAGAUCAAGUCAGCUGUGAAAUGUCUGGGCUUAACCCGGGCAUGCGGUUGAAACUGAUGUACUGGAGUGCUGUAGAGGCAAGUGGAAUUCCCAGUGUAGCGGUGAAAUGCGUAGAUAUUGGGAAGAACACCGGUGGCGAAGGCGACUUGCUGGGCAGCAACUGACGCUGAGGCGCGAAAGCCAGGGGAGCGAACCGGAUUA